Molecule: non-coding RNA, 79 nt
Organism: Gasterosteus aculeatus (three-spined stickleback)
Lineage: Eukaryota; Metazoa; Chordata; Actinopteri; Perciformes; Gasterosteidae
Source: Rfam
UGUUGUCCACUGCCCUUUUCCUCUUGCACUACUGGACAUUGAGAUGAGCAGUGCAAUAUUAAAAGGGCAUUGGCUGAUG